GAAUGGGAACCCGGAGGCCUUGUUUAGGCAAGGAGUGGUAUGCAAUUAUACAUUUUUCUUUACCUAUUAAAAUAUCAGCUUUGCUAAGUUCAUUUAUUGGCAUGGAAUAAAUUUCAGGUGGAAUGCUUCAGUCAAAUCAAAUUGGAAUCAGGGCUAAGGUGUCUGAAGAGAGCUGCAAGCUCAGGACAUCAUAAAGCUUCAUACAUUCUUGGUGUUAUUCUACUGUGCAGCGAAAACAAGUACGAACCAGAAGGCAUGAAAUUGAUUGAGGAGGUUAAAAGGAACAAGAAAAUACGAGAAUGUCGCCAGAAGUUGAAAGAUAUUAUAUGGAACAUCUGGUUGAAAAAUAAAUUUAUUUUAGAAGCAAAACCUAACGGUUGUCCCCUGUCACAUCUGCACAGGAAAAGGGAUGGCUGGCCUAGCUUUAAUGUGGAUGAUGAUGAUGAUAUCAGCUGCCGAGAAUGUAGUUGUCAUCGUGAGGUUAUUUUCGUUUGUAACCUCCUGAAAGGUGUUUAGCUUAGUUAGUUUUUUUUUUUUUUCUUUUUGUAGCCUCCUCAAAGGUGUUUAGCUUUUUUUUUUUUUUUUUUU
This 588-nucleotide unclassified non-coding RNA is filed under the name Hevea brasiliensis (rubber tree). Lineage: Eukaryota; Viridiplantae; Streptophyta; Magnoliopsida; Malpighiales; Euphorbiaceae. The record is from RNAcentral.